RNAcentral lists this ribosomal RNA (429 nucleotides) under Acidobacteriota bacterium. RNAcentral's name for it is "Acidobacteria bacterium partial 16S ribosomal RNA". It matches the Rfam family "Bacterial small subunit ribosomal RNA", at positions 355 to 776 of the family's 1533-position model. Lineage: Bacteria; Pseudomonadati; Acidobacteriota. The record is from RNAcentral.
UGGGGAAUUUUGGACAAUGGGGGAAACCCUGAUCCAGCCAUCCCGCGUGUGCGAUGAAGGCCUUCGGGUUGUAAAGCACUUUUGGCAGGUAAGAAACGUCAUGGGUUAAUACCCCGUGAAACUGACGGUACCUGCAGAAUAAGCACCGGCUAACUACGUGCCAGCAGCCGCGGUAAUACGUAGGGUGCAAGCGUUAAUCGGAAUUACUGGGCGUAAAGCGUGCGCAGGCGGUUCGGAAAGAAAGAUGUUAAAUCCCAGAGCUCAACUUUGUAACUGCAUUUUUAACUACCGGGCUAGUGGGUGUCAGAGGUAGGUGGAAUUCCUCGUGUAGCAGGGAAAUGCGUGGAUAUGCGGGGGAACACCGAUGGCGAAGGCAGCCUCCUGGUAUAACACUGACGCUAAUGCACGAAAGCGUGGGGAGCAAACAGG